UAUUAUACGUGGCCCGCCAUGCAUAAUUUACAAAUCGUGCAGUUUCACAAUGUCAACACAAGGUGGCAGUAAUAGAAUUUAGGCCAGGGAAACAUUAACGCGCCCAAAGCGGAACGAAACAGCGCUACUUGUGCGCACCGCACAGGGCGCGACUCACGAGCUCACAAAUGUGUUUACUUGCUGAGUGUCUCGAUCACACGACCUUUAAACAGCCGGUGAGAAGUGUUCGAGUUCGGCGUAGAGGCCCCAGGCCAGCAAACAGAGGACACAAUAUGAGUUUCUCACCUCCAGUGGUGACUUAUGGGGAGUCAGCUCCUGUGGCCUUCUGGGAGACUAUAUGCGGAACAUGCCUCCAGCCACUGCCCGGCAACAAUUCCCCAAUGACAAAUACUUCUGUAUAGGAUCAUCACUAUGGCCACACAUAUACCAAGACCAGCUGAGCACAUGAGCAGGGCAGGAAAGUUGUCAUGUCUUUGAUUGUGGAAAUAAAUCUCAUGUCUGAAGCAACUUGCCGGAGCAGCAAACAGCUACUAUUCCAGCAGAAGAAAAACAAAUAGAGAAUCUUGUGCUGGUAUGCUGGAAUCUAAAUUGCGGUGUCCCUCGGGGGCUUCGGUUGACUGGCUGCUGACCUUUGCUGCCCUCGGACCACUAGCCACAGUUCAAACAAGAGUCACAAGGGACACAUCAAGGGCAACUGAGGGCUAAAGAGGAUUAUAGAUCAGCGGACACAUGCCUGACGUAGGCCGCUUGACCGAAACUUUGUAAUAAUACCGUUUGUUUUUGCAAGCAAUGGUUGUGUGAUUUUUUUUGUAAUUUAUUUUCUUCAAAUAAAUCGACAGACAUUGCAAAUAAUGCGUGUAUGUGCCUGCAUGACACUCUUAUAAUUCUAUUUAAGUACAUAAAACAGAAUUUUAGAUUUUUAUGUUCUACACAUUUUUUUUGAAUGCAAUAUUAAAGUGACUGAUGUUUUCAUAAAGUAUUAUUGUAUAUUACAACAAAAUACAAUUAAAAUUGUCUUUGACUUUUAUGAAUAUGUAAGGCAAAUCAAUAUUGCACACUCUCGAGAUUUUAAUUAAAAAUGAACUAUCUUUAAAGGUUUAAAAAUACCUUAGAUAUCUCGUAGAUUGUUUUGUCCUGGUCCAGCAGCUCUUUCUUUGUACUCCCAUUUUUGUUUUCUUACAGUUUUGAUCCCCACAGUACCUUCCAGAGAGAAUCAACAAUUUUUAUUGAGAUAUAACAAAUUAAAACAAAAAAUGACAAAGCAUACAAUAAAAAUAAAGCCUCUCUAGAGAUCUAUUUUAUGUUAAGCCUGUCAGUACAUGAUGCUUUCACAAGGGGGCAGUCACUUCUGUUCAAAUGCCAUGUUGUGAGCGGUUCUGAGUUCAAGUCAUUAUGCAGUGUACUUAAUUGCAUUAUAAUUGGCACUACAAACACCGUCCAACCUCAAAUACUGCAUAAUAUAUUUUUAACAACAAAUAAGACUCAUGUGGUAGCCAUAGCUCCAAUUCCCUCACUUCUUAAAACAUGAAAAACAAUAUCCAUUUAAAUUACACAAAUAUGUGUUUUGCAACUGACGUGCUCAUGUAUGUGAACUUACUGUUCCAGAGCGUAUUUGCAUUACGGGAAAUCAAGUAGUCUUUGAAAACAGCUCUCUGUGCAAAACUAAAGCGCCCAGGUUCGUUAUCUUUCUCAAGCGUCCUUUCAGUCUAUUCAUUUCUGGACAAAAAGAACAAGGUUAGGUCACCCAUUAUUACAAGUUCUCAUUAUUUAUUUUGCUGCACUCAACUGAGCUAACACAAUAAUGAAACUCUCAUUAUUUAUCACAGACAGUGGAUCGGUCAUUAAAAAGAUACCUUUCGAGAAGAUUCGCUCGUUCGGGCACUGGGAACGACGACCCUCAAAAGGACUGUUUGGUGGGCCUCAGAUAAAAUGGUUUGUGUGAAUGGAGUCUUCUUAGGACAAGAAAAGAACCUCUUCGGCUGUUUGUUUUGGAAUUUGUCUCAUUGAUCCAAGAGCGGCACCUAAAAGAGGAGGCCAGUAUCGACAAUAGCACUCAGGACAACAUUACUCCGGCGUCACAUGGAGGAGCACCAUUCACUGUUCAAAUUCAUUUUAUUCACGAUAACUUCGGCUUUAGAAGAUUAACUAGACUACAUUGUGCAUUUCAGAGAUUUUUUUUAUUUUUAUUUUAAUAAGUAAAACCCAAAAACUAUCAUACGUCAACAAAAUACUGACAGAACAAGAAUAAUGCCAAUUCUAAAAAUCAAGAAAAAAGGCAAGUCACGAGUUUUUCUUGACAAUCAUUUAUUAAACAAACUGAAAAGUAAUAAAUAAAGAUAAGUACUUAAAAUGUAUUAAAGACCAACAGAGCCAUUUAAGCUCGAAAACGGAUCCCAGCUAUACUGAAAUUCAAGAAAAAGUGAUUUGUCUUCUCAUUUUAAUAUGGAUCAGUUCUAAACCUCAUAUACUGUUAUUUGGCAUUAGGGUUAGAAAUGUUUAAAGACAUGCUUAUUGAAAACAUCUUAAAAAUGGGGUAAGUUUUUAGUAACAAAUUUUUAAUCAAUUUUGGUCACUUGUUUUGACUUUUAAUGGUGGGGGGGGGGAAAGUGGGAGAAAAUCAAAAUAAGGCAAAAAAAAACAAAAAAAACAAACAAAAAAAACCUUUAAGACUAAAAUGGCCCCGCUGAUGAUUACCAAAGGUUGUGAAUGUUUACAGUUAAAAUAAACUCCCCAUUGUAUCCAUCAAUCUUCACAGCUUGAUAAUCAACAACAGAGAGAGGAAGAAAAAAAAAGAAAAAAAAAAAAAAAACAGCUCUCAAAAUUUGUAUUACCAAGUGUGCUGUUGAUGAUAAUGGACGCACCUUUGCAAUAUAAAUGCCCCUGGAAGUCCACAACAUACAAAAUUUAUAUUUCUAUUUUAACUGAUAUUUGCUGAAAGCCAAGAUUAUGUCAUAUUUGACUGUGUAUUAGGGGCACCAAGGGUAGUAGAUUCGUUCAAAUAAAAUUCAUCAUAGCAACAAUCAAAAAUCAGGCAGGAUCAAUACAUUCAUUGUCUGCGUACCCUCCAAAAUCUCAAAAUGGAGGAUACGAAUAAGACUUUUACAGCAGGUUAACACUAAAAAAAGACUAAAAAAAAAAAAAAAAAAAAAAUACUUCAGAUAUGUCUUUGUGCGGUUUUGUAAAUGUAGUGCCAAAAGGUUACAACAUUAAAAUGGACAUCAAACACCAUGUUUCUUUGUGAUCAAGCCACAUGUUCUGCUUUGGCUCGUGCCUCUGCAUGUGUGCUUUCUGAUUUCCAGCAGGAAGUACUGUACACACUCAUGGGGGAAUACAAGCGUACUUGGCACCUUCACAUGAAAGAAAUCCAAUCCUGUUAUUUGAUGCAUUACAGAAAAUCAAUAGGCUCCAUACAGAAAACAUGGAGCACGCUUCCAGGAUGUGCUUGAUGUCACUGGACCCGAAAUUCAAAGUGAAACAUCUGACCGGUUAAAUGACGGGGAAGGGUAUCAGAAGAGCGGCGGCCACUGCUUUCGACAGUUUUUUUGAGUUAGCUUUUAUACUUGAUCAAAAUGCCCUUUUUAGAUUUACCCACCAGCAGCAGGGGUCACUGGGAGCCUGCAGGCACUGAUGUUAACACACAAACCGUCACUCUCACACACGCAUACACACUUAAAUUAUCUCUCAGUCUUCUACAGUCAAACAAAACUCUCCUUGUGAGAAGGCUGGCUUCAGUCCCUCUGAAAUAAAUACACCUUUAAAACAUACUUUUCUUCUCGAUCAAUCCCCUCACUAUACUCUCUAAGCUCGACUAAAACACUGUGUCCUCUUCAUGUAUCUUCAUGUAUCAGCAAUGAAAACCUUCCCUACAGCAGAACCCAGUUUCUACUUUGGAGAAGUAUAACAUUAAAAAAAAACAAAAAAACAACAAAAAAAAAA
This is a long non-coding RNA of Ctenopharyngodon idella (grass carp), 3936 nucleotides long. RefSeq lists it as uncharacterized. Lineage: Eukaryota; Metazoa; Chordata; Actinopteri; Cypriniformes; Xenocyprididae. The transcript is spliced from 3 exons. The record is from RefSeq and is a predicted model, not a curated record.